AGCAGAGGUAGAAUUUCAAAUGGUCUCAGCCGCUGGUGUAAUAGAUUUGUUUUCAGCAUUGUGUUGCAAUGGAAGUCGCCAAACUCAUUACACAUUCACAUGGAUCUUUCCCUAUGUGUUGUCACAUUUUUGGGUAUUUUUCUUGGAGAUUGUCAGGAACACAGAUCAAAGGCAAACGCUGCGGUCCGUGCACCAUAGCUGAGUACCUCGAUAGCUGAAACCCCAGCAGACCCGCGACGGCUGUGGAGAACAGUUUCACUUUUUGUCAUUCCACGAUCGUUCCUUGCGCUUUAUUUUGAUUUGAAACCAAGCGAGUCAUAGGGAGUGAGUGAAUGAAUGGACAUAGGUAUCAUUUAAAUGGAUGGCAUCAUUCAUUUCUAAAUCUGC
Triplophysa rosa is the source of this 387-nucleotide long non-coding RNA. RefSeq lists it as uncharacterized. NCBI's taxonomy places the organism in Eukaryota, Metazoa, Chordata, Actinopteri, Cypriniformes, Nemacheilidae. The record is from RefSeq and is a predicted model, not a curated record. The transcript has 3 exons.